RNAcentral lists this ribosomal RNA (249 nucleotides) under uncultured bacterium. RNAcentral's name for it is "partial 16S ribosomal RNA". It matches the Rfam family "Bacterial small subunit ribosomal RNA", at positions 57 to 305 of the family's 1533-position model. The record is from RNAcentral.
GCAAGUCGAACGGUAAGGCCCUGCUUGCAGGGUACACGAGCGGCGCACGGGUGCGUAACGCGUAUGCAACCUACCUUUAACAUUGAGAUAGCCCUGAGAAAUUGGGAUUAAUAUCGAAUAAUAAUAUAAUACAACCUGGUAUAAUAUUUAAAGCUCCGGCGGUUAAAGAUGAGCAUGCGUAACAUUAGCUAGAUGGUAAGGUAACGGCUUACCAUGGCAACGAUGUUUAGGGGUUCUGAGAGGAUGAUC